GAUGAACGCUGGCGGCGUGCUUAACACAUGCAAGUCGAACGAGAAGUGAAGACGGAAACCUUCGGGCGGAAGGCUUUAUUUCGAGUGGCGGACGGGUGAGUAACGCGUGGGUAACCUGCCUCAUACAGGGGGAUAACAGUUGGAAACGACUGUUAAUACCGCAUAAGACCACAGCACCGCAUGGUGCGGGGGUAAAAACUCCGGUGGGAUGAGAUGGACCCGCGUUCGAUUAGCCAGUUGGCGGGGUAACGGCCCACCAAAGCGACGAUCGAUAGCCGAUCUGAGAGGAUGACCGGCCACAUUGGGACUGAGACACGGCCCAAACUCCUACGGGAGGCAGCAGUGGGGGAUAUUGCACAGUGGGGGAAACCCUGAUGCAGCGACGCCGCGUGAGUGAAGAAGUAUUUCGGUAUGUAAAGCUCUAUCAGCAGGGAAGAAAAUGACGGUACCUGAGUAAGAAGCCCCGGCUAACUACGUG
Molecule: ribosomal RNA, 478 nt
Filed under: uncultured bacterium
Lineage: Bacteria
Description: partial 16S ribosomal RNA
Rfam family: Bacterial small subunit ribosomal RNA
Source: RNAcentral